RNAcentral lists this ribosomal RNA (325 nucleotides) under uncultured eukaryote. RNAcentral's name for it is "partial 18S ribosomal RNA". It matches the Rfam family "Eukaryotic small subunit ribosomal RNA", at positions 1470 to 1796 of the family's 1831-position model. The record is from RNAcentral.
CCCUUAGAUGUUCUGGGCCGCACGCGCGUUACACUGAUGCAUUAAACGAGUCCUUCCUUGGCCGAGAGGCCUGGGCAAUCUUUUGAACGUGCAUCGUGAUAGGGAUAGAUUAUUGCAAUUAUUAAUCUUGAACGAGGAAUUCCUAGUAAACGCAGUUCAUCAAACUGCAUUGAUUACGUCCCUGCCCUUUGUACACACCGCCCGUCGCACCUACCGAUUGAAUGGUCCGGUGAAGCCUCGGGAUUGUGGCUGGUCUCCUUUAUUGGGGGUCGGUCGCGAGAACUUGUCUAAACCUUAUCAUUUAGAGGAAGGUGAAGUCGUAACA